GCCACUAGAUGGCACUAGAUGUUCGGAUUAAAGUGCCUUCCUGAGCUCCACGGGCCCAGGGCGAGGGCAGGCAGGGUCUGAAGACAGCUUCUCUCGGCCACCGUCAUUCUCUCUCCCACUUCGCUCUUCACUUCUCAUCCCUUCCUCAUCCCAUUUAAACAUUAGAUUCCUUCCAGCAGCGGUGUUUGCGUGAUUUCAAAGGUAAGGACACAGAAGCCCAGGGAAUAUAAGUAACCUCCCAAAAAUCGCACAGCAGAUCCAACUAGCACAAUGUCAAUGAUGAAAUGGACCAGUGUCAUAUUCUGCGGGAUAUCAAGGCAAUCAAGAUCAUCUUGGACUGUAUUGUGACAGAGGGCCAGGGAGUGAACAGAGCCCU
This 376-nucleotide long non-coding RNA is filed under the name Homo sapiens (human). RNAcentral's name for it is "HSALNT0340160". The record is from RNAcentral. Lineage: Eukaryota; Metazoa; Chordata; Mammalia; Primates; Hominidae.